Molecule: unclassified non-coding RNA, 155 nt
Filed under: uncultured Myriangiales
Lineage: Eukaryota; Fungi; Ascomycota; Dothideomycetes
Description: sequence contains ITS2
Source: RNAcentral
CACCAAUCAAGCCACGCUUGGUAUUGGGCGCGUGGCCUUCUCCUGGAGGAGGCCCGCCCGAAAUGCAUCGGCGAGGAAACCGACCCCCGGCGUGUUAGAUUUCUGAACGUCAGGAGCACCGGUGCCCCCAGCCGUACAAUCUUUUUAUUUUCAAA